This 253-nucleotide ribosomal RNA is filed under the name uncultured bacterium. Its description in RNAcentral is "partial 16S ribosomal RNA". It matches the Rfam family "Bacterial small subunit ribosomal RNA", at positions 524 to 776 of the family's 1533-position model. The record is from RNAcentral.
UACGGGGGGGGCAAGCGUUGUUCGGAAUUACUGGGCGUACAGGGCUCGUAGGCGGCCAACUAAGUCAGACGUGAAAUCCCUCGGCUUAACCGGGGAACUGCAUCUGAUACUGGAUGGCUUGAGUUCGGGAGAGGGAUGCGGAAUUCCUGGUGUAGCGGUGAAAUGCGCAGAUAUCAGGAGGAACACCGAUGGCGAAGGCAGCUUACUGGGCCGAAACUGACGCUGAGGAGCGAAAGCGUGGGGAGCGAACAGG